Non-coding RNA from Stegodyphus mimosarum, 73 nucleotides. The record is from Rfam. NCBI's taxonomy places the organism in Eukaryota, Metazoa, Arthropoda, Arachnida, Araneae, Eresidae.
GCCUUCGUGGUGUAGUGGUCAGCACGCUCCACACGUAACCAAGAGGUCCGUGGUUCGAUUCCCGGCGAGGGCA